GACGUAGGGGACGAGCGUUGUCCGGAUUCAUUGGGCGUAAAGAGCGUGUAGGCGGCCAUGUAGGUCCGUUGUGAAAACUCGAGGCUCAACCUCGAGACGCCGAUGGAAACCAUGUGGCUAGAGUCCGGAAGAGGAGAGUGGAAUUCCUGGUGUAGCGGUGAAAUGCGCAGAUAUCAGGAAGAACACCCGUGGCUAAGGCGGCUCUCUAGUACGGUACUGACGCUGAGACGCGAAAGCGUGGGGAGCGAACAGG
RNAcentral lists this ribosomal RNA (253 nucleotides) under uncultured bacterium. RNAcentral's name for it is "partial 16S ribosomal RNA". It matches the Rfam family "Bacterial small subunit ribosomal RNA", at positions 524 to 776 of the family's 1533-position model. The record is from RNAcentral.